This 1609-nucleotide ribosomal RNA is filed under the name Salmonella enterica subsp. enterica serovar Dublin. Its description in RNAcentral is "bacterial LSU rRNA". It matches the Rfam family "Bacterial large subunit ribosomal RNA", at positions 1221 to 2812 of the family's 2925-position model. The record is from RNAcentral. Lineage: Bacteria; Pseudomonadati; Pseudomonadota; Gammaproteobacteria; Enterobacterales; Enterobacteriaceae.
UUGUUGGGUAGGGGAGCGUUCUGUAAGCCUGUGAAGGUGGCCUGUGAGGGUUGCUGGAGGUAUCAGAAGUGCGAAUGCUGACAUAAGUAACGAUAAAGCGGGUGAAAAGCCCGCUCGCCGGAAGACCAAGGGUUCCUGUCCAACGUUAAUCGGGGCAGGGUGAGUCGACCCCUAAGGCGAGGCCGAAAGGCGUAGUCGAUGGGAAACGGGUUAAUAUUCCCGUACUUGGUGUUACUGCGAAGGGGGGACGGAGAAGGCUAUGUUGGCCGGGCGACGGUUGUCCCGGUUUAAGCGUGUAGGUGUGUGUUCCAGGUAAAUCCGGUUCACUUUAACACUGAGGCGUGAUGACGAGGCACUACGGUGCUGAAGUAACAAAUGCCCUGCUUCCAGGAAAAGCCUCUAAGCAUCAGGUAACAUCAAAUCGUACCCCAAACCGACACAGGUGGUCAGGUAGAGAAUACCAAGGCGCUUGAGAGAACUCGGGUGAAGGAACUAGGCAAAAUGGUGCCGUAACUUCGGGAGAAGGCACGCUGACACGUAGGUGAAGUGAUUUACUCAUGGAGCUGAAGUCAGUCGAAGAUACCAGCUGGCUGCAACUGUUUAUUAAAAACACAGCACUGUGCAAACACGAAAGUGGACGUAUACGGUGUGACGCCUGCCCGGUGCCGGAAGGUUAAUUGAUGGGGUCAGCGCAAGCGAAGCUCCUGAUCGAAGCCCCGGUAAACGGCGGCCGUAACUAUAACGGUCCUAAGGUAGCGAAAUUCCUUGUCGGGUAAGUUCCGACCUGCACGAAUGGCGUAAUGAUGGCCAGGCUGUCUCCACCCGAGACUCAGUGAAAUUGAACUCGCUGUGAAGAUGCAGUGUACCCGCGGCAAGACGGAAAGACCCCGUGAACCUUUACUAUAGCUUGACACUGAACAUUGAGCCUUGAUGUGUAGGAUAGGUGGGAGGCUUUGAAGUGUGGACGCCAGUCUGCAUGGAGCCGACCUUGAAAUACCACCCUUUAAUGUUUGAUGUUCUAACGUGGACCCGUUACCCGGGUUGCGGACAGUGUCUGGUGGGUAGUUUGACUGGGGCGGUCUCCUCCUAAAGAGUAACGGAGGAGCACGAAGGUUGGCUAAUCCUGGUCGGACAUCAGGAGGUUAGUGCAAUGGCAUAAGCCAGCUUGACUGCGAGCGUGACGGCGCGAGCAGGUGCGAAAGCAGGUCAUAGUGAUCCGGUGGUUCUGAAUGGAAGGGCCAUCGCUCAACGGAUAAAAGGUACUCCGGGGAUAACAGGCUGAUACCGCCCAAGAGUUCAUAUCGACGGCGGUGUUUGGCACCUCGAUGUCGGCUCAUCACAUCCUGGGGCUGAAGUAGGUCCCAAGGGUAUGGCUGUUCGCCAUUUAAAGUGGUACGCGAGCUGGGUUUAGAACGUCGUGAGACAGUUCGGUCCCUAUCUGCCGUGGGCGCUGGAGAACUGAGGGGGGCUGCUCCUAGUACGAGAGGACCGGAGUGGACGCAUCACUGGUGUUCGGGUUGUCAUGCCAAUGGCACUGCCCGGUAGCUAAAUGCGGAAGAGAUAAGUGCUGAAAGCAUCUAAGCACGAAACUUGCCCCGAGAUGAGUUCU